RNAcentral lists this ribosomal RNA (250 nucleotides) under uncultured bacterium. Its description in RNAcentral is "partial 16S ribosomal RNA". It matches the Rfam family "Bacterial small subunit ribosomal RNA", at positions 524 to 773 of the family's 1533-position model. The record is from RNAcentral.
UACGGAGGGCGCAAGCGUUGUUCGGAAUUACUGGGCGUAAAGCGCGUGUAGGUGGCUUGGAAAGUCGGGUGUGAAAUCCCGGAGCUCAACUCCGGAACUGCAUCCGAUACUGCCAAGCUCGAGUCUCGGAGAGGACGGCGGAAUUUCCGGUGUAGAGGUGAAAUUCGUAGAUAUCGGAAGGAACACCAGUGGCGAAGGCGGCCGUCUGGACGAUGACUGACACUGAGACGCGAAAGCGUGGGGAGCAAAC